GACGAACGCUGGCGGCGUGCUUAACACAUGCAAGUCGAACGGAAAGGCCCUGCUUUUGUGGGGUGCUCGAGUGGCGAACGGGUGAUUAACACGUGAGUAACCUGCCCUUGACUUUGGGAUAACUUCAGGAACCUGGGGCUAAUACCGGAUAGGAGCUCCUGCUGCAUGGUGGGGGUUGGAAAGUUUCGGCGGUUGGGGAUGGACUCGCGGCUUAUCAGCUUGUUGGUGGGGUAGUGGCUUACCAAGGCUUUGACGGGUAGCCGGCCUGAGAGGGUGACCGGCCACAUUGGGACUGAGAUACGGCCCAGACUCCUACGGGAGGCAGCAGUGGGGAAUAUUGCACAAUGGGCGGAAGCCUGAUGCAGCAACGCCGCGUGCGGGAUGACGGCCUUCGGGUUGUAAACCGCUUUCGCCUGUGACGAAGCGUGAGUGACGGUAAUGGGUAAAGAAGCACCGGCUAACUACGUG
This 468-nucleotide ribosomal RNA is filed under the name uncultured bacterium. RNAcentral describes it as "partial 16S ribosomal RNA". It matches the Rfam family "Bacterial small subunit ribosomal RNA", at positions 28 to 507 of the family's 1533-position model. The record is from RNAcentral.